RNAcentral lists this ribosomal RNA (438 nucleotides) under uncultured Thermoprotei archaeon. RNAcentral's name for it is "bacterial SSU rRNA". It matches the Rfam family "Archaeal small subunit ribosomal RNA", at positions 872 to 1307 of the family's 1478-position model. Lineage: Archaea; Thermoproteati; Thermoproteota; Thermoprotei. The record is from RNAcentral.
GGGAGCACCACAAGUGUUGGAGCCUGCGGGUUUAAUUGGAGUCUACGCCGGGAAUCUUACCGAGGUCUACAGCAUGAUGAAGGCCAGGCUAACGACUUGUGCCAGACACGCUGAGAGGAAGGUGCAUGUCCGUCGUCAGCUCGUGCCGUGAGGCGUCCGCUUAAGUCCGGCAACGAGCGAGAUCCCCACCCCCAGUUGCGAUCCCGAUCCCUGGAUCGGGAGCACACUGGGGGGACUGCCGCCGAUAAGGCGGAGGAAGGAGGGGGCCACGUCAGGUCAGCAUGCCCCGAAUCCCUCGGGCUACACGCGGGCUACAAUGUUGGGUACAGCGGGUGCCGACCCCGAAAGGGGAAGGCAAUCCCUGAAACCCCGCCGUGGUUGGGAUCGAGGGCUGUAACUCGCCUUCGUGAACGUGGAAUCCCUAGUAACCGCGCGUCA